AAGCUCGUAGUUGAAUUUCGGGGUUAGUAGGUUGGUCAUGCCUCUGGUAUGUACUGGUCUCACUGAUUCCUCCUUCCUUAUGAACCGUAAUGCCAUUAAUUUGGUGUUGCGGGGAAUUUGGACUGUUACUUUGAAAAAAAUUAGAGUGUUUAAAAGCAAGCUAACGCUUGAAUACAUUAGCAUGGAAUAAUGAAAUAGGACGUUCGAUCUUAUUUUGUUUGGUUUUCUUAGGUAUUGACGUAAUGAUUAAUAGGAUAGUUGG
RNAcentral lists this ribosomal RNA (262 nucleotides) under uncultured Glomus. RNAcentral's name for it is "partial 18S ribosomal RNA". It matches the Rfam family "Eukaryotic small subunit ribosomal RNA", at positions 624 to 884 of the family's 1831-position model. The record is from RNAcentral. Lineage: Eukaryota; Fungi; Glomeromycota; Glomeromycetes; Glomerales; Glomeraceae.